This is a non-coding RNA of Podarcis lilfordi (Lilford's wall lizard), 70 nucleotides long. NCBI's taxonomy places the organism in Eukaryota, Metazoa, Chordata, Lepidosauria, Squamata, Lacertidae. The record is from the annotation of a GenBank genome assembly.
GAGAUAGCUCAGCUUGCAGAGCAUGAGACUUUUAAUCUAAGGAUUGUGAGUUCAAGCCCCACCUUGGACA